Long non-coding RNA from Dama dama (fallow deer), 8518 nucleotides. RefSeq lists it as uncharacterized. The record is from RefSeq and is a predicted model, not a curated record. The transcript has 3 exons. NCBI's taxonomy places the organism in Eukaryota, Metazoa, Chordata, Mammalia, Artiodactyla, Cervidae.
AUGAUGCUUGUGUUUCCUUCUCCUAGAGCCUGGGAGAGCUGCAGGGAGAUCCUUGUGCUCUCCUCUUUCCAGAGGCACCUCCUCCUCCCUGCAGAGAUAAUUGGCAUGACUGGCAUAAAUAGAUCCAUAUAGCUCUCUAUAAAUACACCCAUCUUUAGCUAUAUAUAUAUAUAUAUAUAUAUAUUUUUUUUCUUUUUCUAAAGACUUGGCAAGAAUUCCCUUGGAGCCCUUUCCAUGACACAAUAGAAAAGCAGCAGAGUCAUCAAGUUUGCUCGUUCCCACAAAUACAGCUUUGGGUUGACCUUUGCAAGGCUCCCUUGAACCCUGCUUCCAGUAACUCAGCCCCUCCAGCCCUCACAGGCCGCAUACCCCUGGCAACCACAAGACACAACUCCGUUUCCUGAAGCUGCCCCUUUCUUCCUCAUUGGCCUCUGUCUGAAAGCCAAGGAAAAAAAAAAAAAAGAAUCCACUGCUUUUGACCUAUCAUUUUAAAAUAAAGCAUAGGCUUUGUAUGUGAGCUCCGGCUGGCAGCAGGAAGAAAUGAGGCAGGCAGCAGAGUCCCUCAGCACGCAGGGAUGGUGUCGUGAAGGGCGGGGUGUGGGUGGCUUCCGAGUGGUUAGACCUCUGUGCAGGAUGAUGCCACCAAGGCAGCAGGCUUAACAACCUCUGGGGAAGUAAGCCAAGAUGCGGUGGGUCUCCCUCUGAUGGCUUCUGGGAUAAACAGGAGGAAUCCAGGGCGGAAGCACGCCGGAGCGGGAAAAGCCACCCAGGUAAUGACUUUCGAGGGCGAUGUCAUUAGGCACAGACUCUAAGAACCGUCUCUCCAUCACCCUGCAUCAGCAUUGCUGGACACAGGCGGAGCCGGGAGGAGGGAACAGCUGGCUCCUCUCUCUUCUUCUCCCUCCACUGCUAAAGGCUUUGGAGACUGGAGGCAGCCCCGGGGACUUUCACGUGAGGUAUUAAGAGCCUAGCCACAUGUUGACACCACAUUUCAUCCUGAAACAGGUUUCCUUUUCUUGAUUUUCCAAGGAGGGGUUGGAGGAGUGGAUUCAUAAGUGGAAAGUAGAAAAUACCCAAGAAUAGGCGAAUCAACAGAGAAAUGCAGAAAAGGUAUUUUGGCAAAAAAAAAAAAAGCUCCAAACUUAGGACUCCAGCUCCUCCAGCCUUGCUUGUUCGGUAUUCUUUCUUUCUGAAGUUGGGUUGUUAUCCCUGCACCAGAGAAUGCCAGCAGGUGUUGCUGGCAGCUGUUUAAUGACAGUGUCAAGAAUGUCUUUCAGGAAGGUAGGCUUGGAGGCAGGAGGCGGUGAUGGGGAAAAUGGGAUGGCGGGGGGAGGAGUAGGUGGCCCCACAUCUGUGGCGAGGGAGCCAAGCAAUGGAGUGCUGCUCUGGGAAUUGCAAUGUUAUUUUGUACAAAGGUCUUCCUGUAGGAAGUAAGGGGGAGGGACGAGAGACAUAUUUCAGUGUUUUGCGGACUUAAAAAUUCUGAGCUGGAAUUACGAGCAGCUCACUAUGUCUCUAGGCAAAUACUUUAGCUCCUCUCCUCCGCAUCCCCCACUUGCUCCUUAAUGGUUACUGACUCCUGUGAGGAUCAAGUGGAAGGACCUGGAGUACGUGGGAGAGCCAUCCCAGAAGCCCCCACAUCUGGAAAAGGUAAUGGCUCGCAUCCUGGCAGGGGCGUGUCACAGACCUUGGAGAGGGAGAUGCUUCGGUUACCUAGCUGAUCUCAGCUCUGCAGGGAGCCAGAGACAGCAGGCAGGGCUGGCUUUAGAAGGAGACGGGCAGUAGCCUUCACAAGGAGGGCAUUCCUUGUGAGCACUUGAGAUCUGAAAUGCUUUUCUGCUCUCUGCCCAAGCUUAGUCCCCUACAACCGAUCUCAUGAAGGCAACUCUGAAAACUUUCCGGGUCAAAAAUCUUCCUUGGAGAGACCAUGACACCAAGAGUUGUGGGAAGCUAGAUGUCCUCAGGGCACCUGGCCCUUCCCGAACUGUUGGUCCCCUUCCUGCUGGGAUGGUGACCAAGACCUGGUGGAAAUUUCUGGCGUUUUGCUCUCCACCUGCAGGGCAUCACCAGGUCACAUAUUCCUGGAGUCUAACCUGCACAUGUCUGCUUCUCUUUCCAGGGCCUUCUUCAUUUUAUUAUUUUAAUGGGGAGGGGUGUUAUUUAACCUACCAUCACACAUGUAAACAUGUGCAGUUGAGGGGGAGGAGGGCAAGGCUUGGGGCAGCAGUUAAAGCACGGAACUGUAAUUGCCCGGGUUACGAGACAUAUGGUCAGGCUGCAAUGGUGACCUAGCAAUAGCAAUGUCUCAGAGUAUCUGAGGCACCUAAUAAGAUGUGGCGGGGUGGGGCGGGGGAAAGAAUGAGAGUACUGACCCUAACAUUUGCUUUCCAAAUGCUUUCACACAUAUUAUUUCACUCAAUCUUCCCGUUAGUCCUUAAAACUAGGAACCAGAAUUAUCAAGGUCUCCAUUUUAGAUAUAGGGGAACAGGACAACUUCCCCAAGGUCAAUGGCUACAGAGCAACAGCUGGAGCUCAGGCUCCUUGACGUCUGGGCUCCUAUUCCCCUGUUCCGUACCCACCCCUGCCCCAGCUGCACUGCCAGAACCUCUGUGAGAGGGCCCAUAGCAUCCUGUCUUCAGAGGAAGCGAGAUGCAGGCAAAAAUAGCCCAUGCCUUCAAAUAGACUGCAGGUACCCGAGGAAAGGACCCUUGUUGCGUUGUCCUUUAAAUCUCCUGUGACCCAUCGCCUACAGGGUUCCGAGAACAUUUUUUAAAUGGUUGCUUAAGUAGGAUAUAAGAAAGAAUCCAGCGAGGGAGCUGAGGCAUCGUGGGGACUGUGAUCUUUGAACCAGGAAAGGAGAACUUCUGUCAAGGCUCCAGGACUCACGGACUGAAUCAUCUACUGGGAGCUGUUUACACCACCUUCCAAACGGAGAUAAGGUCCACCUCGCAAGCCGCUGCCGGAACUGAACGAGACGGGGAGUGAGAAGGGACCCUGCGUGUUGUAAUGACUAAUGCUGGAUCUUCCUGACCCUGCAGUUCAGGAGGCCACCCAAGAUAAGACAGCAGAGAGGAAAGGGAGCUCCUCUUCUGAGGGUCCUUAGAGCAGAGCUCAUGCCCUCCUGCUCCGGGCGGGCUGGGUGUAGUGCACCCAGGAGGGGAGGUUGGGCUAUGUCCAGGGGGCAAAAGGCCUAAGUGCUCAGUAGGUGCUCAGUGAAUGGGUGUCCCUUCUGUUUCCACUCAUUCUAGGAAAGCCGCUGUGGUGAAAAGCUGGACGAGAAGGACAAAGGUCAGUGGUGAGGACAGUCAUUAGUCCAAGGCAUCGUGAAGAUGGCUCCUAGCCCCAGCAUCUGAAAUGAUGUGGGGAUACAACUUUAAAAAGGGUUCGCUGUGCCGCUGCUCACUCUUCCGUGGCAUUCUUCGGGCCUCUGCUGGGUUGAGGGCUAAACGGGAAGUAUGGGUGACUCAUGUGUUGUGCCGGGGAGGUGGCGGCUUUGGUCUAAGUCACCCAGCUAACCGCAAAGGCAGGGCAGGAUGGUGGUCUUGUGACUGAUUUGGGGGCCUAGGCUGACCCACACACACAGGCCCCAGAGAAGGCCCAGAUCAGGUAGAGAGGCCCACCAGGAGGAUGUAGGCUACACCUCCCUCUCCAUGAGCCCCUGGGAAGAGCCGUCCUGGGGCUGAAGUGCGAGAUAGGGAUACUGGCUUGCAUUUCCCGAGGACUCACUCUUCACCAGGCACCACGCUAAAAGCUGAACAUGCCUGACCUCAUUUAAUUAUGAAAAGCACCCUUCAAGGUAUACCUCAUCAUUCUCAUUUCACAGAUGACGAAAUCAGAGCUCAAUAAGGCUAAUUUUCCCAAUACCGUCUACCAAGUAGGUGGGCCAAGAUUUGCACCAAGAUAGUCUGAUUCCAAAGUCCACAUUCUUCCCACGACACAUGCGGGCCCUGUCCAGACAGCCCACCAGGCAGGAGCUACAGAUAAAAUACCACACCUCCUCCAGCACACACUAAAUCAGCACAAGGAGAAGCCGGAGGCUGGCAGAGAGCAGAUCUUUAUCAAGACACUUCAGGAACAGGAGGAGAAAUAUUUCCGCCCUCCUCCCAGCCGAAGGGUUGGUUGUGUUUAUAAGAUGAGACACGUUUUGAAGGGAGGGGAGUGAGGGUGCAAAUCUCAAGCGAAAAUCACCACCCACACCAAAAGAAACUUGAAGGCAAACUGGGGCCUCAAGGACGUGGUUGCAUUGCUCAUGUGUGUGUCUGGGAGCAUGCGUGUCUGUGUGGGGGAGAAGGGCAGGAGGGGGCAGGGAAGGAAAAGCAGUAUCUUUGUCAUCAUACCCAGUGGCAUUUAUCAGCUCCACUUUCCUCCCUAAAAUUGUGCUUCUCCCGGACUUGCUUAUUUCCUAUUUUCUUUCUCCUGCUCUGGAGCAGAGAGCUAGCGUGGUUUAACGGACGAGCACAGACUGUGGGGCCUGCAGACCUGGUCUUCCUCUCCAAAUCCACCACCUGACUGAGUUGUCCAAUAAAUACACGCGACAUGAAUGAAUGGGGAAAUACUUCCGCCUCCCUGCGACUUGGUUUUCUCAUCUGGAAAGAUACAUAGCCCUGGUCCCUGUGCGGCAGAGCCGAUGGGAGGAUUAAAUAAAGCCAAGUGCUUAGCACAGCUGGCUGGCACAGAGUUGAUGACCAAUAAAUGCACAUUGCUUUGCCCCAUUUCUCAGCUGGAGCCCUACAGCAUUUGGGGCGGGAUCAUUCUUUGCUGUGGGGGCUGUUCUGUGCAUCCCAGGGCGUUCAGCAGUUUCCCUGGCCUCCACCCAGUAGAUGCCAGUAGCCCCUUGUGCCCCAGACAAAACAACCAAAUGUCUCCAGACCUUGCCAAAUGUCCAGAGAAUUGCCUCAGUUGAGGGAUACCAGCUUAAAGUAAUUAAUGAUGAUAUCAGCGACAAGUAAUACAUUUGGAAGCACACAGUAAGUACUGAUAGUGAUAUUCACGUUUUUUUUGAAUGAGCAAAUGUAUGAAUGGACAUGUGAAGUAAUCAUGGAUACAGUUCUGCACCUUCAAACCCUUGGUGGCAGGCGGUAUGCAGUCUACUACGUUCUGGACUCCAGAAGGUUGAUGGAAUCACAGAGGGGGCUGGGCAGGGCAUCUUGGUAUCUCUGCUGCCGGCUGUCUUUUGGUGCAGACCUGGUAUCUAGCGGGCUUCUCUGGUAGCUCAGAAGGUAAAGAACCUGCCUGCAAUGCAGGAGACCCAGGUUUGAUCCCCAGGUCAGGAAGAUCCCUUGGGGAAGGAAAUGGUUGCCCACUCUGAUAUUCCCACCUGGAGAAUUCCCUGGACAGGGGAACCUGGUGUGGGCUACGGUCCAUGAGGUUGCAAAGAGUUGGACCCGACUGAGCAACUAACAUACUGGUGCCUAGUGGGGUUUGCAGAUGGAGAAGUGACAGGUGAGUGAGGCUGUGAGUGCAAUGAGGCUGAAGGAAUUUUCCCUUCUGGGAAAGGGUAGUCCCAAAGGAAUCUGCCUGCAGCAGCUGAUGGCUUGAAUUCCCAUGUAUGAGAUGUGAUGGCUUGACUCACGUGCACUCCUCAAAGAAUCCCAUCUCUUGCUCUGGGCCAGCCAGAGACAUUGCUAGGAACUCCUCAGUGCCCCCUUACGUGGAGGAGGACACGCCUGCAGGCCCUUUCUGACUCCCACCGAGAAGAUGCCUUACAAUAGGGGCAGAGAGAUGACUUAUGUUCUAGGAGUUCUUCCUCCCACCCCUCACUUUCCCUGACUCCAUUACUGAAAGACUGCUGUAUUAUGUGGUCCUACAGAUGCCGAGAUGACAAAUGCCAACCACAAUCCCAAAACUGCUGAGUGUACUGAAGAGCAGGGAAAAGAAACAGGACGAUGACAAAACAUAUAAUGACCACAGGGGUGCCUUUUAACGGAGCAAAGCUGGCUCCAGGUGUUGGCUCCUGCGGCGUCACAAGCGACUUGCGUGUGGGUGCCGCUUCAAGCUGAAGUAAAUAAAUAUCACCUCCAGGACCACCAGAGUCCUGGCUGAAGUUUUAAUGAGGCAGAAGUUGGCGGUGAUUGAUUGCAAUCUGUCUGGGACUGAAGCUACUCCGUGUUUUAUGGAUUCCAAGGCAGUGAGACUCUUGGAAAGACUGGAGGUUCAGCAGCAUUUGUGGGAGCAUCACCUCACUGGGUGAGCCCAUGGGCGUUUUGCUUACAUCAUUCAAGAUCUUGCAAGUGACAAGAGACCAUAAUGGGAUGAGUGUUAACUGUGCCGGCUAUGCUUGAAUGCAUACAUGAGUAACUAGGUGCUUGCCCAACAACAAGCUAAUUUAAAGAAUUAGAGGGACUGAUUUAUGCUCUCUGCUUGGUGGGAACCAAAAGAACAGUGACUCCCCAACACUACCCCAACACGAAUCUCUACCCCUUUCAACUUCAAGCACAAAGGGUAAAAUGUUGUUUGCUAAUUUGUAACAAAUUUGGGUACUCGAGGACUGAAUGAAGCACACUGUUUUCCAGGCUUUUCUAUCCACAUGUUCUCUGGUGAGUGUCGGCCACUGGCCCCUGCUGUCCAUCCACACAUUUGCCCUGCCAUAUGCCCACACACAGAAUGCCUAAGUGGACUGUGGAGGUGCGGGCCGGAGGCAGAACUGAGGCAGAUUCCUGUAUGGAAAAGAGCUUCCAUUCCAGGUGAUGCUAAGGCACUCUCCCCCUGUUCUCUAUGCCUCUACGCGCUCAGCACCGAGGAGCCGUGCUGGAGCUCAGGCCCCCUGAAUACCCAAGGAUGUGUUCAGUCCACCUAGGGCCCUGGGUUACUUGAGAAUAAAGAGAAACAGCAGAAACUUGGGUGACUGUGGCGGGGUGAGCAACCCCUGUUCAGCGUUCUCGUGUGUAGUGAGCAAAAGAUCAAAGGCAUUUGGAAUUGAUGCUGCAGCUCACCAUUCAUUUGGAAGAAUCACUUUCCCAUGUGCUGUCCCUGAGAAUAGGUGGGAAAUGGAGUGGCAUUCUCCCGAAUGCCGUGGGUACCAAGAGCUACUGCCUGUCAGCCUGUGCAUCCGAGUAUGUACGUGAGAAAGGGGAAGGGAAGCGGGGACUCUCAUUAGGCACAGAAGCCCCGUGAUAAGCAAUUCAGACACUUCUUUAAAAUCAUUAUGAUCCUUACGAAGUAGAUAUUACUAUCCCUGCUUUAAAGAUGUGAACUCGCAACUCCAAGUUUCCAAGGGGUUACGUAACUUAGCUAAGAUCACAAAUUUAAUAAAUGGGAAGGUUAGGACUUGAACUCAAACCAUUGUCUUCUCACAAUGACUUAAAAACAUGAAAGGAAAAAAAAAUCAAUAAAUGAUAUGGAGGAAAAAUUAUUUUCAGGCUGAAGGUCAAAGGGGCAGGGACUAAUGCAUCUGGUGCACACUGCUGUUCCCAGGGACCACGGCAUGUCACCACACGUGUUGUUGUUGGAAAAGGAUUAGAGGACCUUUGUGUGCACCAUGACAUGUGAUUACUCAGAGGCUGAAUGGGGGCAUCGGGUCUCCAGCGCUGACCUGGGGACCUCAUGAUAAUAAAAGACGGGGCUCCUCAGUCAAUGAAGCUGCUGUAGGUUUAGCCGGGAAGGCAUCUCAUCACCCUGGACAGCUUAUCCUUUCCACCAGGUUAGCAGUGGGCUCCUUGAGGUGUGAGGUUCACUGGUGCUCUCUGGAUGGGAGCCCUUGGAAUCAGUUAUGAGCAGGGAGGUCAUGCUUACUCAUCGCCCUAGAAAUGAGGCCACCUGGGGCUAUCAAUAGGGGUUUGGCUCAGCCCCUUCCAGCCAAGCUUGGGGCAUACCAAGACACUCCUCUUCCCUCAGAUGGUUCAUAUGCCCCUCAAAGUCUGAGAAUGAAAUCACCAGAGUACCUAGUCCCUUAGCCUAAGCUAACUAGAGCUAGGUUAAACUUAAGGAAGACCUUCCUGACUCUCCGCUCUCUGCGGCUGGACCAUGAGCAACCGAGUUGGCUCUGGAAUAUCCUUUCCUAAAGACUUGGAAGUGCGAGAGAGACACCUAAUUGCUGCCCACAGCACAGGGCAGGGGACAACCUUCCCUCCGGCCUCACCUUUGCUCGCUGGCAUUUUCGUAAAGGCCCAAUACAAAUAUAGAAUGUGUAAUUUUCGCGUCAUUCUUGGCAAAUCCCAGGUGCGCCCCAUUAGCAGAGUUCCAAGGAUGCCAUUUUCUAUCAAGAAAAAGACAUGCCGCAUCGUAGAGCUUAGCUCAGGGCCCUAUUAAUAGCAAUCCUAAUUAUAUGGCUGCAAAGUUAAUUCAUAGCAAUGAUUAGUGUCAGAAUCAAAGGCAUCAGGCAUCAAUAUUGAUGGAAUUGCAUAAGCUCCAUAAACAGAGAACAAGCAUUCCGACCCAUCCACCCACCACCCCCUCAGCAGUGGUUUGCUGUUAACUAUUGCAUUAAAUGUCUCUUCCAAUUUCGCCAGAUCAAAAUGACUCCAUUGCUCAGCAUCUUCCUCCCCACUGCUGAAACCUUUGCCCGGCCAGCUCCGAACGG